RNAcentral lists this transfer RNA (72 nucleotides) under Felis catus (domestic cat). It matches the Rfam family "tRNA". From Rfam's summary of the family: Transfer RNA (tRNA) molecules are approximately 80 nucleotides in length. Their secondary structure includes four short double-helical elements and three loops (D, anti-codon, and T loops). Further hydrogen bonds mediate the characteristic L-shaped molecular structure. tRNAs have two regions of fundamental functional importance: the anti-codon, which is responsible for specific mRNA codon recognition, and the 3' end, to which the tRNAs corresponding amino acid is attached (by aminoacyl-tRNA synthetases). tRNAs cope with the degeneracy of the genetic code in two manners: having more than one tRNA (with a specific anti-codon) for a particular amino acid; and 'wobble' base-pairing, i.e. permitting non-standard base-pairing at the 3rd anti-codon position. The record is from Rfam by way of RNAcentral. Lineage: Eukaryota; Metazoa; Chordata; Mammalia; Carnivora; Felidae.
GCCCGGGUGGCUCAGUCGGUUGAGCAUCUGACUUCAGCUCAUGGUUCGUGGGUUUGAGUCCCCUGUCAGGCU